UACGGGGGGGGCAAGCGUUGUUCGGAAUUACUGGGCGUAAAGGGCUCGUAGGUGGCCAACUAAGUCAGACGUGAAAUCCCUCAGCUUAACUGGGGAACUGCGUCUGAUACUGGAUGGCUUGAGUUCGGGAGAGGGAUGCGGAAUUCCAGGUGUAGCGGUGAAAUGCGUAGAUAUCUGGAGGAACACCGGUGGCGAAGGCGGGUCUCUGGGCCGAUACUGACGCUGAGGAGCGAAAGCGUGGGGAGCGAACAGG
Molecule: ribosomal RNA, 253 nt
Filed under: uncultured bacterium
Lineage: Bacteria
Description: partial 16S ribosomal RNA
Rfam family: Bacterial small subunit ribosomal RNA
Source: RNAcentral